ACGGAUAAUUUACACUCAAAGCCCGUCUGACCUAAGUUUCUCCACGAAUAUGGCGGUCGGGCCGCAGUCACAAACUGCCAGGGUGCGGGAAGAAAUGACCGCAUCUCCCGACUUGGAAAGGUGUUCCUGUGUCUUCGUU
This 139-nucleotide non-coding RNA is filed under the name Tatumella ptyseos. Its description in RNAcentral is "MoCo sequence". It matches the Rfam family "Molybdenum/Tungsten riboswitch aptamer (Moco RNA motif)". RNAcentral also lists the same sequence under 1 other name. The record is from RNAcentral. Lineage: Bacteria; Pseudomonadati; Pseudomonadota; Gammaproteobacteria; Enterobacterales; Erwiniaceae.